This is a small nucleolar RNA of Balaenoptera acutorostrata (minke whale), 137 nucleotides long. NCBI's taxonomy places the organism in Eukaryota, Metazoa, Chordata, Mammalia, Artiodactyla, Balaenopteridae. The record is from RefSeq and is a predicted model, not a curated record.
AAUGAGGUGUUGAAUCAAUGUUUAUCAAAUGAACAGUUGUUCAGAAGAGUAUGCCAACGCCUCAUAGAUUAACUGUGUGGUUUCCUUUACUCAUAGAACUACCUGUUAGAUCUGUGGGAAAGAACUACAAGACAGAG